GUAUGCGACCUGCCCGUUGCAGGGGGAUAAUCGGGAGAAAUCCCGUCUAAUACCGCGUAACGCCGCGGGGCUGCAUGGCCCUGCGGCCAAAGGAAGCGAUUCCGGCAACGGAUGGGCAUGCGUGACAUUAGCUAGUUGGCGGGGCAACGGCCCACCAAGGCGACGAUGUCUAGGGGUUCUGAGAGGAAGGUCCCCCACACUGGUACUGAGACACGGACCAGACUCCUACGGGAGGCAGCAGUGAGGAAUAUUGGUCAAUGGGCGCGAGCCUGAACCAGCCAAGUCGCGUGAGGGAUGACGGCCCUACGGGUUGUAAACCUCUUUUGUCGGGGAGCAAAUUCCGCCACGUGUGGCGGAGUCGAGAGUACCCGAAGAAAAAGCAUCGGCUAACUCCGUGCCAGCAGCCGCGGUAAUACGGAGGAUGCGAGCGUUAUCCGGAUUUAUUGGGUUUAAAGGGUGCGUAGGCGGACUGUCAAGUCAGCGGUAAAAUACGGGGGCUCAACCUCCGCCCGCCGUUGAAACUGACGGUCUUGAGUGGGCGAGAAGUAUGCGGAAUGCGUGGUGUAGCGGUGAAAUGCAUAGAUAUCACGCAGAACUCCGAUUGCGAAGGCAGCAUACCGGCGCCCAACUGACGCUGAAGCACGAAAGCGUGGGUAUCGAACAGGAUUAGAUACCCUGGUAGUCCACGCAGUAAACGAUGAAUACUAGCUGUC
This 713-nucleotide ribosomal RNA is filed under the name uncultured bacterium. Its description in RNAcentral is "bacterial SSU rRNA". It matches the Rfam family "Bacterial small subunit ribosomal RNA", at positions 117 to 824 of the family's 1533-position model. The record is from RNAcentral.